CCAGACUCCUACGGGAGGCAGCAGUGAGGAAUAUUGGUCAAUGGUCGGAAGACUGAACCAGCCAUGCCGCGUGCAGGAAGAAUGCCUUAUGGGUUGUAAACUGCUUUUAUAUGGGAAGAAUAAGGAGUACGUGUACUUUGAUGACGGUACCUUACGAAUAAGCAUCGGCUAACUCCGUGCCAGCAGCCGCGGUAAUACGGAGGAUGCGAGCGUUAUUCGGAAUCAUUGGGUUUAAAGGGUCUGUAGGCGGGCUAUUAAGUCAGGGGUGAAAGGUUUCAGCUUAACUGAGAAAUUGCCUUUGAUACUGGUAGUCUUGAAUAUCUGUGAAGUUCUUGGAAUGUGUAGUGUAGCGGUGAAAUGCUUAGAUAUUACACAGAACACCGAUUGCGGAGGCAGGGGACUAACAGAUGAUUGACGCUGAGAGACGAAAGCGUGGGGAGCGAACAGGAUUAGAUACCCUGGUAGUCCACGCUGUAAACGAUGGAUACUAGCUGUUUGGAGUAAUUUGAGUGGCUAAGCGAAAGUGAUAAGUAUCCCACCUGGGGAGUACGCACGCAAGUGUGAAACUCAAAGGAAUUGACGGGGGCCCCGCACAAG
Molecule: ribosomal RNA, 597 nt
Filed under: uncultured bacterium
Lineage: Bacteria
Description: bacterial SSU rRNA
Rfam family: Bacterial small subunit ribosomal RNA
Source: RNAcentral